AUGAAGGACCUGAUAGUCCGGCUAUGGCCUGCCGAGCCUGUACCUGGUAGCUAUUUUGGACUUGUUAAGCGGCUUGUAAAUGCCUGUCCGUGGCUCGAAACCGUGAAGCAAUCGGUUUGCAUUGAAGAUGCGCGUAUGGCCUUUGCUCGCGUCAAGACGCAUUGGGCAAAGCUGGAUGCCAAGAAGCUAAUGGCCGAGGGGCCGCCGGAGGGCAAGGAGCAUCGUCGACUCGAGCUCUAUUUUGAUGGCGUCCUGGAGGGGUCCCGCCUUGUGGCGGAACAAUGUUCGAAGGAUAUUAUAUUCCCAUGA
RNAcentral lists this ribosomal RNA (309 nucleotides) under Triticum aestivum (bread wheat). RNAcentral describes it as "partial small subunit ribosomal RNA". The record is from RNAcentral. Lineage: Eukaryota; Viridiplantae; Streptophyta; Magnoliopsida; Poales; Poaceae.